Molecule: long non-coding RNA, 863 nt
Organism: Oncorhynchus masou masou (cherry salmon)
Lineage: Eukaryota; Metazoa; Chordata; Actinopteri; Salmoniformes; Salmonidae
Exons: 3
Source: RefSeq, a predicted model, not a curated record
GUGCCUCCACUAUUCCAGCACCAUUUCAACUUCAACAUCAUCAAAUCACCUCGGCUUAGUUUAAUACAGCAACAACUAAAAGAUACCAAAAACAAUGUAUUCCAAUCAACUAAAUAUGAUGUGGCUGUCCAUGGUUCUGAUUUCUGUGUGUGUGUGUGUGUGUGUAUUCGUGAAAGUAUAAAAACCAUGUUGACUCACCCUUCUUGUAGAGAAAGCCAAUGCCUUCCUCCUCUCAUGUUUACAAAACAUUCUACACUCUGAAAAUUAGGGAUUCAACUUCUUAGAAGAACCUUGGGGUUCUUGGACCUGAAAAUUGCACCCAGAAGGUUCUUCCAAGAACCCCAUAGGAGGUGGGGUUCAUCAAGGAACCUCCUUAGUUGGUGUGGGUUCUUGUAGGAACCUAACGACCCAACUGAAACAUUUGUAUUUUAUUUUGAAUGGAGAGCAGUUGCAGGCACUUAUCUGAAACAUUUAAAGAUCUCCUCAAUUCAAGAUAAGAUGUGUCCCUUGUAUGAACUAAAUUGAUAUUGAUUUAUGAUGCCAGCUAUCUUUUCAUAUUUUUGCAAGUCUUUCUGAAAUAGAAAAUGGACACAAUUCAAUGGAUAUCAAUCAACAAAGAGGUAUACAGACACGGAGGCAUAUAAAGACUUCACCCUCCCUACACCUCUGAUGAAUAUAACAGGAAACCUGUUCAAUCACCAUGUACUGCAAACUCAUUCUGGCUGUGGAUACGGAGAACAUCAACACAUUAACAUCAACAGGCCAGAGGAUAUACCCAUUGGACCUGGGGCUCUGCUGGGACUUUACCUCAUAUUUGGAUUUUUUUACUCUAAUUUGCCACUAAAAUCGUAAUAAACUGACAA